Molecule: long non-coding RNA, 2429 nt
Organism: Neopsephotus bourkii (Bourke's parrot)
Lineage: Eukaryota; Metazoa; Chordata; Aves; Psittaciformes; Psittacidae
Exons: 2
Source: RefSeq, a predicted model, not a curated record
CGGAGUGCGCAAAAGCAUUGAUUUAAGUGAGAAUGUGCUCAAGAAAUGUCUUUAUUUACAUGUCAAGACCUGGGGAUAGAGAGCUGUCCAUUUUCUACACCUUCCCCUUUCCAUUGCAGUUCCCCACAAAACUAAGGUAUGAAGCCAGUCUAUUGGUCCACAUAAUUUUGAUCUGAUCUGAUUUGUGUGAUAGUAUAUUUAUUUAAGUGCAUAGUCUUAAAAUUGCUAGGCGGGACAGCGCUUCCAUGCAGACUUUAAAACAGACAGAUAAUCAAAGAGAAGCACAAAAGCUUCCAGAAGAUGUGGUGCAGGAUUUUUAGACCAUUGAUAUAAAAUUUAGUUUGUUGUACAAACUUUGUUACAAAGUAUAGAAAGCAAGCAAUACCAAAUAGGUAGUUCUUUUUCCUUUUAUUGUGGAGAUCAUGGUUGUAUUCUCAGAGGUUAUCUUUCUCUCCAGUUUAAGCAAUGCAAUGUCAACUUACAUGUGAAGCAAGUGUCUGGGUCUGUAGUUAGCGAUGCCAUUUGUAGUAGAAAACUGCUUCAAAGAAGUAACCUCUUAGGUAAACUGGAUGUGUUGGGGCUUCUCUAACCAGCUGCCUACUAGUUAGCCAAUUAAUAAACUUAAAAUAUGUAGCUCGGCCACAUAUAUUUAAGAAGUUAUCUGUAUCAUAAAAAAUUCUGCAUUGGGGCUUGUCAAUGGUACAGAGAAAUAUUUCUGGGAUAAAGAAGUCUCUCCUGCACCAAAAAGAGGCUUAAUCAAACAUAUUACUAAUAGAAUCUCACUUGAGAGAGAUCCAUUGUUGUUUUGUUGUUGGUUUUGGGUUGUUGUUGGGUUUUUGUUUUUUGUUUUUAAUUUGGAGACAUUAUUGGUUUCCUGCCUAGAACUGGAAAUCCUAGAGUAAUCACUUCCAGUUAGUGAAAAGUCUGGAGAAUGCAUAUUAGAGAAUGAUGCGUUGGUUAAUAGUUUUGUUUUUAAUAUCACUAAAAUUGAACAUUACUGCUCUUAUCAUAUUUUGAAUAGAAAAACUUGAUUAACUCCUGAGUGUAGUCUGGAGUUGUGGUAUAAAACAGUGUGUGACCUAAAACAGCUCUGCCAUUAGCAGGGCAAAGAUAGUUGUUUGCUGGAGGGCCUCUUUAUUAAUUUUGGUUUUUAAGAAACUGAUUUGGGUCAACAUUAGAUUGGGUGUCUAAGCAGCUGGCAUCUGCAAGGUGGCUGGGCUUGCCUGAGCCAGGAGACUGCAGAUAAUGUUCUGCUGACAAGAGCACUUUGUACAGAAGAGUUAUUAAAUGAUGCGCUACAGAAGUUUCUAUUUAGCUAGUGCUGAGGUAAAAAACAAGCAUCUUCCCUUGUGCUGUGUUAGUGCAUUUGGCAAGUUACCUGGUUUGACAGUGGACCACAUGUAGGCCUGAUGCCCAACAAACCAGCUGGCUACGGGGCCUCGGUCUGGCAGAGGUCAUAGCACAGGGCAAUGGUGGGCUGGAGGGAACAAGAAGAGAUUGCAGUGAUGUUAGUGAGGUCGAGCUCUGGCUUACAUGAGUGAUAAUUUGUGUAAUUCUAGUUUCAUGGCACUCUUUGCUGGUGGCUUGUUGGCUUUCCCAAAGAAAAGGGACUGUCUUUGGAACAAGACUGGGGACUCAGAAUAUUCCUUCAGAUGUUGAAUUCUUUUCCCAUAUAAGAAUGUAUGCAUUUUGUAUAUUUUUAAAGUUUCUAUGUUUUUAAGAAUCAAUAUAUCACCUGCAACAUAAAUUAAAAUCAUUUUAAAUUCAAAAUAUAUACUUUAAAAGUUACUAUGGUUCUACUGAGGAGCUAAGGAAGAUAUUGUAAUUCAAAUCGCUUGAAUACAUUGUAUCUUUGGGGAGUUUUAGAACUGUAAUUGACUAGAAAUUAAUGUCAGUAUUUAAAACCUUACGUUUUUAUUGCAAGUUGACUGCCUAAUAGGUCUGCGUAUUUUUUUCUUAGAUUAUGUUGAAAAGAGACUUUAGAAAAAUGCAUGCAAAAAAAAAAAGACAGAAGGGUUUACCAAAUUCUUUGUGUCUGCUCCCAGGUUGUUGAUUUUUUUGUGGCAGAAUGGCAAAACUAGCAGCAUCGUUUACUAAAAUUGAACCAGCACACCUGAAUAAGUCAAAAUGAAAAGAAUCCACACAUAGAUUUGUGUGGUACACGUUACUUGUACAGUUUAAUCAUACUGGGGGUUUAUUAAAUUUAUAACCUGACAGCCUGAUUCAAGUAAUUAUAAAAGCACAUUCUUAAUUUCGUUAUUUCAAACAAAAAAAGUUGAUUUGUGUAAUGAUCAUUAAGGCAUCAUGGUUCAGUAACUGUGCAUUGGUUACAAUGUUUUCAUGUGGGAGCCAGGAAUGAGCUUUUUUUCUUGAUAGUGACAGAUGCUGAAAUCUAAUUUUAUUCCAUAAAAACAGACAAACAAACAAAC